AGCAGCCGCGGUAAUUCCAGCUCCAAUAGCGUAUAUUAAAGUUGUUGCAGUUAAAAAGCUCGUAGUUGAAUUUCGGGAUUAGUACGUUGGUCGUGCCUUCGGUACGUACUGGUGUUACUGAUUCCUACCUUCUGACGAACCAUCAUGUCAUUAAUUUGGUGUGGCGGGGAAUCAGGACUGUUACUUUGAAAAAAUUAGAGUGUUUAAAGCAGGCUCGCGCUUGAAUACAUUAGCAUGGAAUAAUGAAAUAGGACGUUGACCCUAUUUUGUUGGUUUCUAGGAUUGACGUAAUGAUUAAUAGGGAUAGUUGGGGGCAUUAGUAUUCAAUUGUCAGAGGUGAAAUUCUUGGAUUUAUUGAAGACUAACUACUGCGAAAGCAUUUGCCAAGGAUGUUUUCAUUAAUCAAGAACGAAAGUUAGGGGAUCGAAGACGAUCAGAUACCGUCGUAGUCUUAACCAUAAACUAUGCCGAC
This 472-nucleotide ribosomal RNA is filed under the name uncultured Glomus. RNAcentral describes it as "SSU rRNA". It matches the Rfam family "Eukaryotic small subunit ribosomal RNA", at positions 569 to 1046 of the family's 1831-position model. The record is from RNAcentral. Lineage: Eukaryota; Fungi; Glomeromycota; Glomeromycetes; Glomerales; Glomeraceae.